GACGAACGCUGGCGGCGUGCUUAACACAUGCAAGUCGAACGGAAAGGCCCCCUUGUGGGGUACUCGAGUGGCGAACGGGUGAGUAACACGUGAGUAACCUACCCUUGACUUUGGGAUUACUUCAGGAAACUGGGGCUAAUACCGGAUAGGAGCUCCUGCUGCUUGGUGGGGGUUGGAAAGUUUCGGCGGUUGGGGAUGGACUCGCGGCUUAUCAGCUUGUUGGUGGGGUAGUGGCUCACCAAGGCUUUGACGGGUAGCCGGCCUGAGAGGGUGACCGGCAACAUUGGGACUGAGAUACGGCCCAGACUCCUACGGGAGGCAGCAGUGGGGAAUAUUGCACAAUGGGCGGAAGCCUGAUGCAGCAACGCCGCGUGAGGGAUGACGGCCUUCGGGUUGUAAACCGCUUUCGCCUGUGACGAAGCGUGAGUGACGGUAAUGGGUAAAGAAGCACCGGCUAACUACGUG
This 465-nucleotide ribosomal RNA is filed under the name uncultured bacterium. RNAcentral's name for it is "partial 16S ribosomal RNA". It matches the Rfam family "Bacterial small subunit ribosomal RNA", at positions 28 to 507 of the family's 1533-position model. The record is from RNAcentral.